GAUGUUCCAUUUUCUGAUUGGCCAAUACUCGAAGUGAAAAUACCCGAUGCACUGCCAGAUGCGUUUGAAAAAGUGCUAUAUUACAUUUAUACCGAUCGCAUCGACUUUUCGGAUCGAACAGAUAACAAAGAAAUCGUGCGUCUUAUGAUGGACAUCUUCCAAUUGGCAGUUCUGUAUUUGAUAACACGUCUAGAGAACGUGUCUAUUCACUAUCUGGAACUGAGAAUUUCAAAGAACAAUUGAUUUAUUUGCUACGAAUGAGAAAAAUCGCAUUGAAACUCUGUGGAAUUGUUCACUUUAACAGACGCUAAAAACAAAGGAGAUAGGCCGACUGACAAUCUACGCACCCGUUAUCAAUAGCACAAUGACAUUAGUGUCAAAUUUAAAUAUGCGACAUGGGCUCCCAAUUGACGCAAGCAUUGUAUAUUCCGCAAGGAAAAGUCCACGGGCAAAUAUAUUUAUUGGCGUUUUAGUAGUAAUAGGAAAUACAACUGUAAGGCUCGAGCCCGUUCAAUAGCUGGUCCCAACGAAAUGAAACUAUUGAAAACAACAAUCACACCAGAACACACCCACACCGCCGAAGAGGCCAACCAGAACAGGAACCAAUUGAAUUCGGGCAAGAAUACGGACAAGAAUUCGGGAAAAAAGAAGGCGAAUAACAAUGACGAUGAAAAUGUUUUUUAUCUAUAGAAAAAAUGACAAAUUGCUAGACACUAAACACUGACCUCCGUUUUGCAUUAAUUUCAACAAGUAUAUGAUUGUGACUUCGUACUUAUUAUUGCUAAAGAAGUAGAAA
This is a long non-coding RNA of Sitodiplosis mosellana (orange wheat blossom midge), 796 nucleotides long. RefSeq lists it as uncharacterized. The transcript has 3 exons. Lineage: Eukaryota; Metazoa; Arthropoda; Insecta; Diptera; Cecidomyiidae. The record is from RefSeq and is a predicted model, not a curated record.